This 1464-nucleotide ribosomal RNA is filed under the name uncultured bacterium. Its description in RNAcentral is "16S ribosomal RNA". It matches the Rfam family "Bacterial small subunit ribosomal RNA". The record is from RNAcentral.
AGUUUGAUUAUGGCUCAGGAUGAACGCUGGCGGCGUGCCUAACACAUGCAAGUCGAGCGAUUUACUUCGGUAAAGAGCGGCGGACGGGUGAGUAACGCGUGGGUAACCUGCCCUGUACACACGGAUAACAUACCGAAAGGUAUGCUAAUACGAGAUAAAAUACUUUUAUCGCAUGGUAGAAGUAUCAAAGCUUUUGCGGUACAGGAUGGACCCGCGUCUGAUUAGCUAGUUGGUAAGGUAACGGCUUACCAAGGCGACGAUCAGUAGCCGACCUGAGAGGGUGAUCGGCCACAUUGGAACUGAGACACGGUCCAAACUCCUACGGGAGGCAGCAGUGGGGAAUAUUGCACAAUGGGCGAAAGCCUGAUGCAGCAACGCCGCGUGAGCGAUGAAGGCCUUCGGGUCGUAAAGCUCUGUCCUCAAGGAAGAUAAUGACGGUACUUGAGGAGGAAGCCCCGGCUAACUACGUGCCAGCAGCCGCGGUAAUACGUAGGGGGCUAGCGUUAUCCGGAAUUACUGGGCGUAAAGGGUGCGUAGGUGGUUUCUUAAGUCAGAGGUGAAAGGCUACGGCUCAACCGUAGUAAGCCUUUGAAACUGGGGAACUUGAGUGCAGGAGAGGAGAGUGGAAUUCCUAGUGUAGCGGUGAAAUGCGUAGAUAUUAGGAGGAACACCAGUUGCGAAGGCGGCUCUCUGGACUGUAACUGACACUGAGGCACGAAAGCGUGGGGAGCAAACAGGAUUAGAUACCCUGGUAGUCCACGCCGUAAACGAUGAGUACUAGCUGUCGGAGGUUACCCCCUUCGGUGGCGCAGCUAACGCAUUAAGUACUCCGCCUGGGAAGUACGCUCGCAAGAGUGAAACUCAAAGGAAUUGACGGGGACCCGCACAAGUAGCGGAGCAUGUGGUUUAAUUCGAAGCAACGCGAAGAACCUUACCUAAGCUUGACAUCCUUUUGACCGAUGCCUAAUCGCAUCUUUCCCUUCGGGGACAGAAGUGACAGGUGGUGCAUGGUUGUCGUCAGCUCGUGUCGUGAGAUGUUGGGUUAAGUCCCGCAACAAGCGCAACCCUUGCCUUUAGUUGCCAGCAUUAAGUUGGGCACUCUAGAGGGACUGCCAGGGAUAACCUGGAGGAAGGUGGGGAUGACGUCAAAUCAUCAUGCCCCUUAUGCUUAGGGCUACACACGUGCUACAAUGGGUGGUACAGAGGGCAGCCAAGUCGUGAGGCGGAGCUAAUCCCUUAAGGCCAUUCUCAGUUCGGAUUGUAGGCUGAAACUCGCCUACAUGAAGCUGGAGUUACUAGUAAUCGCAGAUCAGAAUGCUGCGGUGAAUGCGUUCCCGGGUCUUGUACACACCGCCCGUCACACCACGGAAGUUGGGGGCGCCCGAAGCCACUUAGCUAACCCUUUUGGGAAGCGAGUGUCGAAGGUGAAAUCAAUAACUGGGGUGAAGUCGUAACAAGGUAUCC